GUCUGUGGCCAUGCCACCAUGAACAAGCCGGAUCCCGUGAGAUCUCAGAAGCUAAGCAGGGUCGGGCCUGGUGAGUAGUUGGAUGGGAGGCCACCUAGGAAGACCAGGUGCUGUAGGCU
RNAcentral lists this ribosomal RNA (119 nucleotides) under Pteropus alecto (black flying fox). Lineage: Eukaryota; Metazoa; Chordata; Mammalia; Chiroptera; Pteropodidae. The record is from RNAcentral.